Molecule: ribosomal RNA, 376 nt
Filed under: uncultured eukaryote
Lineage: Eukaryota
Description: partial 18S ribosomal RNA
Rfam family: Eukaryotic small subunit ribosomal RNA
Source: RNAcentral
CAAUAGCGUAUAUUUAAGUUGCUGCAGUUAAAAAGCUCGUAGUUGGAUUUCGGGUGGAAUGGCCGGUCCGCCGUUUCGGUGUGCACUUGCUACGCCCACCUUGCUGCCGGGGACGUGCUCUUGAGUUCACGCUCGGGACACGGAGUCGGCGAGGUUACUUUGAGUAAAUUAGAGUGUUCAAAGCAGGCCUACGCUCUGAAUACAUUAGCAUGGAAUAACACGAUAGGACUCUGGCCUAUCUUGUUGGUCUGUAGGACCGGAGUAAUGAUUAAGAGGGACAGUCGGGGGCAUUCGUAUUUCAUUGUCAGAGGUGAAAUUCUUGGAUUUAUGAAAGACGAACUACUGCGAAAGCAUUUGCCAAGGAUGUUUUCAUUAA